RNAcentral lists this ribosomal RNA (502 nucleotides) under uncultured bacterium. RNAcentral's name for it is "SSU rRNA". It matches the Rfam family "Bacterial small subunit ribosomal RNA", at positions 26 to 521 of the family's 1533-position model. The record is from RNAcentral.
AGAGCGAACGCUGGCGGCGUGCUUAACACAUGCAAGUCGAGUGCGCAGUUUUCUGUAGCAAUACAGGAAACCGGCGCACGGCGCACGGGUGCGUAACACGUGGAUAACCUGCCCUCCAAAGGGGAAUAACCCCGCGAAAGCGAGGCUAAUACCGCAUGACAUUCCGAGAACCUCGGUUUUUGGAAUCAAAGCCCGCAAGGGCGUUGGGGGAGGGGUCCGCGGCCGAUUAGCUUGUUGGCGAGGUAAUGGCUCACCAAGGCAAUGAUCGGUAGCCGGUCUGAGAGGAUGGCCGGCCACACUGGAACUGAGACACGGUCCAGACUCCUACGGGAGGCAGCAGUGGGGAAUAUUGCGCAAUGGGCGAAAGCCUGACGCAGCGACGCCGCGUGGGGGAUGAAGCUUCUCGGAGUGUAAACCCCUUUCGACCCGGACGAAACGCCCGCAAGGGCUUGACGGUACGGGUAUAAGAAGCCCCGGCUAACUACGUGCCAGCAGCCGCGGU